GACGAACGCUGGCGGCGUGCCUAAUACAUGCAAUUGGAGCGAAUCGAUGGGAGCUUGCUCCCUUUCAUUAGCGGCGGACGGGUGAGUAACACGUGGGCAACCUGCCUAUAAGUUCGGGAUAACUAACCGAAACCCCUGCUAAUACCGGAUACGUUCUUUUCUCGCAUGAGAGAAGAUGGAAAGACGGUUUACGCUGUCACUUAUAGAUGGGCCCGCGGCGCAUUAGCUAGUUGGUGAGGUAAUGGCUCACCAAGGCGACGAUGCGUAGCCGACCUGAGAGGGUGAUCGGCCACACUGGGACUGAGACACGGCCCAGACUCCUACGGGAGGCAGCAGUAGGGAAUCUUCCGCAACUUACGAAAGUCUGACGGAGCAACGCCGCGUGAACGAAGAAGGCCUUCGGGUCGUAAAGUUCUGUUGUUAGGGAAGAACAAGUACCAGAGUAACUGCUGGUACCUUGACGGUACCUAACCAGAAAGCCACGGCUAACUACGUGCCAGCAGCCGCGGUAAUACGUAGGUGGCAAGCGUUGUCCGGAAUUAUUGGGCGUAAAGCGCGCGCAGGUGGUUCCUUAAGUCUGAUGUGAAAGCCCACGGCUCAACCGUGGAGGGUCAUUGGAAACUGGGGAACUUGAGUGCAGAAGAGGAAAGUGGAAUUCCAAGUGUAGCGGUGAAAUGCGUAGAGAUUUGGAGGAACACCAGUGGCGAAGGCGACUUUCUGGUCUGUAACUGACACUGAGGCGCGAAAGCGUGGGGAGCAAACAGGAUUAGAUACCCUGGUAGUCCACGCCGUAAACGAUGAGUGCUAAGUGUUAGAGGGUUUCCGCCCUUUAGUGCUGCAGCUAACGCAUUAAGCACUCCGCCUGGGGAGUACGGCCGCAAGGCUGAAACUCAAAGGAAUUGACGGGGGCCCGCACAAGCGGUGGAGCAUGUGGUUUAAUUCGAAGCAACGCGAAGAACCUUACCAGGUCUUGACAUCCUCUGACAACCCUAGAGAUAGGGCUUUCCCCUUCGGGGGACAGAGUGACAGGUGGUGCAUGGUUGUCGUCAGCUCGUGUCGUGAGAUGUUGGGUUAAGUCCCGCAUUAAGCGCAACCCUUGAUCUUAGUUGCCAGCAUUCAGUUGGGCACUCUAAGGUGACUGCCGGUGACAAACCGGAGGAAGGUGGGGAUGACGUCAAAUCAUCCUACCCCUUAUGACCUGGGCUACACACGUGCUACAAUGGAUGGUACAAAGGGCUGCAAACCUGCGAAGGAUUCCGAAUCCAUUAAAGCCAUUCUCAGUUCGGAUUGCAGGCUGCAACUCGCCUGCAUGAAGCCGGAAUCGCUAGUAAUCGCGGAUCAGCACCAAGCGGUGAAUACGUUCCCGGGCCUUGUACACACCGCCCGUCACACCACGAGAGUUUGUAACACCCGAAGUCGGUGAGGUAACCUUCAUGGAGCCAGCCCUCUAAGGUGCCAUAGAUGAUUGGGGUGAAGUCGUAACAAAUUCCCCGUAAA
RNAcentral lists this ribosomal RNA (1497 nucleotides) under Bacillus sp. 210_34. RNAcentral describes it as "bacterial SSU rRNA". It matches the Rfam family "Bacterial small subunit ribosomal RNA". Lineage: Bacteria; Bacillati; Bacillota; Bacilli; Caryophanales; Bacillaceae. The record is from RNAcentral.